RNAcentral lists this long non-coding RNA (288 nucleotides) under Mytilus galloprovincialis (Mediterranean mussel). The record is from RNAcentral. Lineage: Eukaryota; Metazoa; Mollusca; Bivalvia; Mytilida; Mytilidae.
UUAUAAUAUAAAAAAGAAGAUGUGGUAUGAUUGCCAAUGAGACAACUAUCCACAAAAGACCAAAAUGACACAGACAUUAACAACUAUAGGUCACCGUACGGCCUUCAACAAUGAGCAAAGCCCAUACCGCAUAGUCAGCUAUAAUAGGCCCCGAUAAGACAAUGUAAAACAAUUCAAACGAGAAAACUAACGGCCUUAUUUAUGUAAAAAAGGGAACGAAAAACAAAUAUGUAACACAUAAACAAACGACAACCACUGAAUUACAGGUCUUUAUUUCUCAUUUCGUAA